CCUACGUGGGGCUGCAGUGAGGAAUAUUGGUCAAUGGGCGGGAGCCUGAACCAGCCAAGUCGCGUGAGGGAAGAAGGUACUGCGUAUUGUAAACCUCUUUUGCCAGGGGACAAAGGCGGCCACGGGUGGCCGUAAGAGGGUACCUGGAGAAAAAGCAUCGGCUAACUCCGUGCCAGCAGCCGCGGUAAUACGGAGGAUGCGAGCGUUAUCCGGAUUUACUGGGUGUAAAGGGCGUGUAGCCGGGCUGACAAGUCAGAUGUGAAAGCCUGGGGCUCAACCCCCGAACUGCAUUUGAAACUGUUGGUCUUGAGUAUCGGAGAGGCAGGCGGAAUUCGUAGUGUAGCGGUGAAAUGCGUAGAUAUUAGGAGGAACACCAGUGGCGAAGGCGGCCUGCUGGACGACAACUGACGGUGAGGCGCGAAAGCGUGGGGAGCAAACAGGAUUAGAUACCCGAGUAGUC
Molecule: ribosomal RNA, 460 nt
Filed under: uncultured bacterium
Lineage: Bacteria
Description: partial 16S ribosomal RNA
Rfam family: Bacterial small subunit ribosomal RNA
Source: RNAcentral